Molecule: long non-coding RNA, 1791 nt
Filed under: Gadus morhua (Atlantic cod)
Lineage: Eukaryota; Metazoa; Chordata; Actinopteri; Gadiformes; Gadidae
Description: lncRNA (ENSGMOG00000028988.1)
Source: RNAcentral
AUGUCUGUCUUGGGGUACAUGGAGCCUGACUCUGAAGUCAUCAUCUCACUCACUGCCACUUCUCGUAGAAAACUGUUACCACAAACUACCGGCGUUUGGUAUAUUAACAGACAACUACAUCUGCUUUACCACAUGUUGAAGCAGGACUUUCGGCUGUUUGUUCCAGACCAGGACUCUGUCCGAGGAGAGUUGAUGGUUGAGCUGAGACGCUGGAGGACGACUAGGAAUCGACCAACAAGGAUUCCUCAACGUGUUUCUGGAGCGGAGGCGAGCUGGCAGGGGAGCCGUGAAUCUGGAGGAUGACCAUCGCUCUACCAACAUGGAUUGUAAGUUUGCAUUAACCUAACAGAGUGGAUAUAAAGGGCUUAAAAAUAAGACAAACUACAUGUUUGUUACCAGACGUUGGGGCCAGACUUGUGCUGUUUGUUCCUGACCAGGCCUCUGAGGAGAGCUGAUGGAGGAGCCAAGACUCUGGAGGACGACAUCACUCUACCAACAAGGAUCCGUAAGUUUGCAUAAAGUAGACGGAGUGGACUUGUGGUAACGAGGAUUAGUUUGUCCAGUACAAGUUAAGGCAUACUACUGUGGUUGGUUACUAGACAAAAUACAGCUGCUACUUUGUUACUUGUAACCAGACCAGGAAUCUGGAGGACUGACGGAGAAGCUGUACAUCUGGAAGGCAAAUCCUGAGGACAACCAGGACUCUACCAUCAAGGAUUCCUGGUAAGUUUGCAUUAUCUGGACAUAGUGGACCGUGUCGGGAGUUCAACUCUCAGACCAAUGGUGCCGGGUUCAAGUCCUCUGAAUACAGUGAUGCGUCCUUGAGCAAGGAGCCCUAAAGCCUGCCUGCUCCUUAAUGACGUCUCUUUGGUUCAGAUAAUGUUGCAUCUUUUAAAUAUUGAACCUAAUCCAUGUCCUUGUUUGGUCCGGGCAGACACCCCUGAGCUGAACCCCACCUGAUCCUGUUUGGUCGGGGGCAGACACACCUGAGCUGAACCCCACCUGAUCCUGUUUGGUCGGGGACAGACACACCUGAGCUGAACCCCACCUGAUCCUGUUUGGUCGGGGGCAGACACACCUGAGGUGAACCCCACCUGAUCCUGACACCCUGCUGGUCCCGUCUCCUCAGUUCAUCUGAGCCUCGUCCUCCAGAAGACCUGCUGAGCUCAGCGGCCUGAGGCUGAUGGAUCAAUGACCUCCAGUGGGAGUGAUCUUCUUGACCCCACAUGUACCCGUGUGCUUCCACACGCCUUUCCCUCACUACUUCCUUAACCUCACUACUUCCCUAACCUCACUACUUCCCUAUCCUUCCUCUUCUUCCUUCUCCGUGGUUCGAACCUGUGUCUUCCUGCCCUCAGAGGGUUCAGCGUUAGGGUUGAGAGUCAGGGUUUAGAGUCAGGGACAGAGCUGGUCAGGGAGGACUGGUUUUAAACAAACCUCUUCACUUGCUUUCUGAAUGGUGACAUUUUGAAAUGUUUCAUUUGGGAAAAUGUUUUCCUCUGCUUUCCUUUAGAAAAACAUGUAUUGAACUUCUGUCAAGUGUUUUUGUUUAUAUAUUAAAAUCCUACAUUGACUGUUUGGUGCGGUUCAUUUAAUUGUCCAUAAACUUGGUUAAUGUCAAGCUAAACUCCUGCAAUACAUUGAAUUUACAUGAUGAAUGUUAUUCAGCAUUGUUCACAUAAUCCAUUUUGUAAAAAUAUAAAAUAUCUAAUGUACAUACUGCCCUCGCAGGCCAUUCUCUGCUACAACACGUUCAAACCAUCAACUCGGUCUAACAUCAAUGUACUAUUA